UAACAAGGAUUCCCCCAGUAACGGCGAGUGAAGAGGGAAGAGCUCACAGUUUGAACCUGUUUGACCUAGUCAAACCGGAUUGUAAACUGUAAAGACAUUGUCCAGGCAAGCCGGGUAAAUAAGUCCUUUGGAAUAAGGCAUCAUGGAGGGUGAAAAUCCCGUUUUUGGCCUGAGCAUUUGCCUUUUGUGCCAAGUCUUUCAAGAGUCAGGUUGUUUGGGAAUGCAGCCUAAAUUGGGUGGUAAAUCCCAUCUAAAGCUAAAUAUUGGCGAGAGACCGAUAGCGAACAAGUACCGUGAGGGAAAGAUGAAAAGCACUUUGAAAAGAGAGUUAAAAAGUAUGUGAAAUUGCUGAAAGGGAAGCGUUUGGGAUCAGAACGGCUGUACCAGUCAUCAGUCUCGGUUUCGACUGGGAUGCACUGUCUGGGACAUUUGCCAGCCAACAACAGUUGGUCUGGGUGGAGAAAACUGUGGGGAAGGUAGCCCCUUCGGGGUGAUUAUAGACCUGCGGAAAAUACACUCGGAUCGACUGAGGAGCGCAGUGGAUGCCUUUAGGCAAGAUCUUUCAAAGGGCAUAGCCUCUAUUUGACUGCAUCUUUAUCCACUUAGGUUGUUGGCCUAAUGGUUCAAACGA
This 631-nucleotide ribosomal RNA is filed under the name Thermomucor indicae-seudaticae. RNAcentral's name for it is "eukaryotic LSU rRNA". It matches the Rfam family "Eukaryotic large subunit ribosomal RNA", at positions 66 to 647 of the family's 3401-position model. The record is from RNAcentral. Lineage: Eukaryota; Fungi; Mucoromycota; Mucoromycetes; Mucorales; Lichtheimiaceae.